GUCAUGGUUGAAUCAAAAGUAAAAAAAAAAAAAAAAAUGUUGAAUGAAUUCAGGUUCCAACUAAAUGUUGCAUGCACUCUUCCCUGCCCUCUCUUGCCCACAAUUGCAUUAGGUAGGUCAGUAGAUACAUAUGGGUGGAGAGAUUACUCCAGUUCCUAUUUUUUUAGUAGUUUCUAUUUUUUUAAAAAAAGCCUUACAUAAACAUGAUUAAAAACUCAAAGGUAACAAUAAGUGUUGGCGAGGAUGUGGGGAAAAAGGUAGACUCACACUGCUGGUGGGACUGCAAAUUGGUGCAGCCAAUAUGGAAAGUAGUAUGAAGAUUUCUUGGAAAAUUGGGAAUGGAACCACCAUUUGACCCAGCUAUCCCUCUCUCCUUGUCCUACACCCAAAGGACUUAAAAACAGCAUACUAUAGGGACACAGCCACAUCAAUGUUUAUAUCAGCACAAUUCACAAUAGCU
Molecule: long non-coding RNA, 460 nt
Filed under: Marmota monax (woodchuck)
Lineage: Eukaryota; Metazoa; Chordata; Mammalia; Rodentia; Sciuridae
Source: RNAcentral